AUUGAACGCUGGCGGCAGGCCUAACACAUGCAAGUCGAGCGGAUGAAGGGAGCUUGCUCCUGGAUUCAGCGGCGGACGGGUGAGUAAUGCCUAGGAAUCUGCCUGGUAGUGGGGGAUAACGUCCGGAAACGGGCGCUAAUACCGCAUACGUCCUGAGGGAGAAAGUGGGGGAUCUUCGGACCUCACGCUAUCAGAUGAGCCUAGGUCGGAUUAGCUAGUUGGUGGGGUAAAGGCCUACCAAGGCGACGAUCCGUAACUGGUCUGAGAGGAUGAUCAGUCACACUGGAACUGAGACACGGUCCAGACUCCUACGGGAGGCAGCAGUGGGGAAUAUUGGACAAUGGGCGAAAGCCUGAUCCAGCCAGGCCGCGUGUGUGAAGAAGGUCUUCGGAUUGUAAAGCACGUUAAGUUGGGAGAAAGGGCAGUAAGUUAAUACCUUGCUGUUUUGACGGUACCAACAGAAUAAGCACCGGCUAACUUCGUG
This 484-nucleotide ribosomal RNA is filed under the name uncultured bacterium. RNAcentral's name for it is "partial 16S ribosomal RNA". It matches the Rfam family "Bacterial small subunit ribosomal RNA", at positions 30 to 507 of the family's 1533-position model. The record is from RNAcentral.